This 30254-nucleotide long non-coding RNA is filed under the name Triticum aestivum (bread wheat). RNAcentral describes it as "long non-coding RNA (TAES_LNC011050)". Lineage: Eukaryota; Viridiplantae; Streptophyta; Magnoliopsida; Poales; Poaceae. The record is from RNAcentral.
UCCAAAUUGAGCACUGAUGGGAGUCCUUAGCGUGCUUCAACGACACUCUCUCAUAUCAAUCUCUCUCUUUCUUUGCUCCUGCUAUUAAAAUGUGUAGAUGUGCUGCUUUGCUAAUUGAGUAGUUGGGAAGAUGUGAAAAGAACAUGCUCUCUAGGUGUGUGAUUAUUCCUGUGAGCACAAAUGUAUUUAAAUGUUUAUUUUGUGCUUCAGCUUAUGCUUUUGGGCAGUACAAAUACAUCUUCAAAAAUAAGUACAGAUGCGGUCUUAUAGAACUCUAAUUGUUGUUGGAUGCUAUUCCAAAUGCCAAUGAUCAUGCAAAACGGUUAUUGCUAGAAUCUAGAUGAUAUGUAAUGUAGUUACCAUAGUUUCACCCUAUUUUUAUGGUUCUAAUUAUUCUUGCAUAAGUCUUUAAAAGAAAUGUUCGCUAAAUGUUUGUCAUCAUUGCUUGUAGGUACUCGUAUGAACAUUAAAAUAAUGGCUUUUCUUGUAGGAGGUUCAAAGAUUGUCGUGGAGCAAGUUCAAGAGAUCAGUUUGGUGAAAAUAAUGUGAUCUUUUGCUCAGGAUUUUGCAUGAUCCAUAGCCAUCAGACAAGUAGUUCAAGGCCUACUAUGCGAGUCGUCCAUCGUUUUCUACGCAUGAUGAGCUUGUUGUCUCUACACAUCUAGCAUCGGAGUAUCUCCUCCCCUUGCCGCACACACAUGCCCGCGGUCGAGCUAGUGUUGUUUGUGAUUGCUGGUCGUGACGCUUACGUUGUCAUUGGACAAAUAAUUUGUUCUGUAACUCUGUACUGAUGGGACCUUCAGCAUAUAUGGUGUUUAGAAUUUGUUUGUAACUCUGUACUGUCGGGACCUUCAGCAUAUAUGGUGAUCUCAGUAUUCUAAUCUGUAGGCCAAAAAUGGUGAACAUUUAAACAUCAGUUCAAUUUAAUAAAACUGAGAAGUCCUACUUUCGGUAAAUAGCUGAACCUGGGUACAACAAAGUUCUACCAUUAGUCAUGGGGAUUAUCCGUUAAGGUGUACUAUGUUUUUUUGUCAGUUUAUGUGCUUUUUGUUUGUCGGGCCAUGUGCAAGUUCGUUAUCGGUUCAUGUGUAUGUGUGUUGGUAACCACUGUUAUUGCUGCAAGGUACCGAUCUGACCAUGUAUAUGUUAUUCAUGGACAUGUAUUAUAUGUGUGAAAAUUUUUCUAUAUAUGAUGAGAUGAUUGCUACUUCAAAGAAGGUAUAGGUACAUGACAGCUUGAUAUGCAUGCAAGAAUAAAAAAAUGGUUUGAUUCAAAAAUAUUGAUCAGUAUGAAUUAAAAAUGAUCAGUUUGAAAAAAAAAAGAUGGUUAGGUUUUGGUAUUCUGUAACGUUGACGUCCAAGAGUUAACAUCCAAGAAAACUUCCAAGUUCUGCAACUGAUCCGUCUAGAUGGGAUAAGGAGGUCAGUCCAGCAUGCGCAUCUCAAGUGUCAUGUCAGUGCCGCCCACCCGUCGCCAUGCCUCUCCGCCGCAUGUCGUGUCGUGCCACCUUGCCAUCAGCCACCGUUGUGGCUCAACUCUGUAGUGCUUCAACGAUCACCAGACGCAGCUUCCUUCUAUUGUUGUCCUCGCCCUGCUCUCCUCAAUAUUGGCAUUGCAAAAACACAUCAAGUUCACAAUUAAAAAAUUGUAAGUUCAACACGACGUCCCAGAUAAGUUUGAGAGAAAAGCUCAAACAAAAUGAAACCCAAUGAAAACUCAAAUGGUAAAAGUUCAAGUUGCAAAACAAGAGAAGUCCAAAACAUCUUGCAAGAAAAUUGAGUUAAAAAAACAAACACAUGAAAUUAUUUCCUUUGUCCUCGCCCUGCUCUCCUAAAUAUUGGCAUUGCAAAAACACAGCAAGUUCACAAUUAAAAAAGUUGCAAGUUUAACAUGACGUCCCAGAUAAGUUUUAAGAAAAAAGCUCAAACAAAAUGAAACCCAAUGAAAAAUCAAAUGGUAAAAGUUCAAGUCGCAAAACAAGAGAAGUCCAAAACAUCUUGCUGAGUUAAAAAAACAAAUAGACGAAAUUAUUUCCUUUAAAAAAUAUCACUUAGUUCAACGAUAUAAACCAUGCAAGUUCGGGGACUAUGAUACCCCAAAAACAGAGUGAAGUCUAGUAUGUGAAAACAUGCUCAGUACAAAACCAUACGAACAUCAGUGCAAGUACUCUUUUCACGGAACCAUUCAAAAUUACUUUGAAAAAUACCUCAGUACAAACACACACAUAGAUCAGUACAAGUACUCUUUUUUUGGACAGAAAAACAACACGAUGAGUCUCACCAUAUUUCAAAAUUACUCUUAAAAGAUGAGAGCAACUACAAAAUCAUAAAGACAUCCGUUCAAAGUAUUUUUUUUCGGAACCAUUCAAAACUACUCUGUGAAAAAUACCUCAGUACAAACAUAGACAUAGAUCAGUACGAGUACUCUGUUUUUUAGACACGAAAAAACAACACAAUGGGUUUCACCUUAUUCAAAAUUACUUUCAAACGGUUUCAAAGUAGAGAAAAUGUUCAACAUGACUAAGCUUUGCAUUUUUGACAGCUAUCCAACAGUAUAUUAUUUGCCCCAUUUCGACAAACUUUUUAAAAGAACCGCGUUCAAAACCAAUUUUAACCGUAUUUGAAUUUGUAUUUAAACUGUAAGGAAUUAGAAAAAACUUUCUAUACGCAAAAGUUGCGCAUUUUCCAUAGCUUUCCAACACCAUAUCAUUUGCGUCAAUCCGACAGACCGUUUGCAAAAAACAGUGAAAAAACAUUUCUCCCAGAAUUUCACCAUUUUUCAAAUUACUUUUAAAUCGUAUAGAAUUUGAAAAAAUAGUAGAUAUAUGGAAGAUGCGGAUUUUCACAAGCUUUCCAACGUCAUCUCAUUUUCUCAAUUCCGACAAACCGUUUGAAAAUUAAGUAGAAAAUACGAUUCAUGUUUUCGGUUUUGAAAAAAACGUUUUUUUCAAAACUGCUCUUAAAUCAUAAAAAAAAAUUCAAAAACAAAUUGUAAGAUUGUAAUGUGGAUGUCAAGAGCUUUUCAACGAUAUAUUACACGCCCCAUUCAAGACGAUUUUUAACAGCAAGAGAAAGCAUCAGUUCAACCGCUCGAAUUUCAUCAGUUCAACCGCUUGAAUUCAUCAGUUCAAGUAGGGUAACAGAAUAAUAUUCUAUUACAUGUAACAGAAUAGCCCAGAUGUAUACACACACACACACACACUUAUAAGGACAUGGUUGCAUAACCAAAUUAAAUAUCCAAUUACAUAGGUGGCUACUACAACCAUGGCAUUUGCACACACCAAAGUAAACUGUUACAUGCAUAAUUUGAUAGGUGGCUACUACACACAUGACACUUCCACACACCAAUAAAGUAAACUAUAUAUUACACGCAUGAUUAACAAGCAUAAACGAUCAUCCGGUCAUCAUCUACUUCUUGUGACGCUUGCUCUGCUUGUGGCUCGAUCCGGGCUCGUCGAUUUGGUAACGAGGCACUUCGUCAUGUCAACGAGCCGUCUGUGCACCUCGUAGCAUGUGUACACGCUCUUGGCCGCGAACCUGAGGUGAGGUUCAUCAAGUCGCCGCAUCUAGGCCCUGUGCCAGGAUACGAGACUUGUUCUCUGGGCAUCCUGCUUCAUCUUUUCGUAGUAGGGGUCGAUGAUGGCCGAGGCGAGUUCGACUAGGGAGUCCUUCUUCGUGCUGCCCCAGACUCUGUAUUGGUCACGGAUUUAGACAAGGUUCUUGCAGGACAAGCCCGUAACACUGAUAGCUUUUACAUCAUCGGUGGUUUCCACCGUGGCGAACUUGUAGUCGAUGCUGUUGACAAACCUAUUGUAACGGUCGCAAGGCUCUAUGGUCAUGCAGUAGUGGUAGAUGAGGACAUGAUGGCGCAUGCACAACUGGGCAACAACAACCUUCUGAUCUUUGCCGGGAACACCGGCGGUGUACUGGACGUCGAUGCCGACCACCUUGUACUUGUCUCCAGCAAGCAACUGCUCAAUGGUAUUGAUGUACUCCUCCACCACAGUCGGGUCGAUGAUGUACACCACCGAGAGAUCCGUCUCCGUCGCGUGGGUAUCCACUUUAUGCUCGCCGAACUCCAUUGGAGCACCGCUAGACAUCCCCUCUCUAUGUGUCAUCGUGGGAGUGCUUGUUGUGUUGUGGGGAGCGAUCGAAAGGUUGAAGAGAUUAAGGUUAUAAUGGCCGCGGGAAUUAAGGGGGAGGCCAGACGGCACGCCCUGAUGGCAGUUCUCAUUCGCAGCGCGUAACUCCAUCGUGCCGCACGUAACUGCAUCGCGUGGCAAUGCGCGAGGUGCAACUGCAUGCAUAUGGGGCCCCCGACUGAUCGUGCGCAGGCCCAACCACUGGCAGAGCACGCGGGGAGGGACACGAGCAGAGCGCUCCGCGGUCGCCUCAACGGCGAGGAACCAUACAUAUGCAUAUAGCAGUUGAACACGCAAGAAAAAGUUGUCCACAACCCGAGCGCGCCGCGGCACCUAACGGCGAGUAGAGCUCGCCGAGGGACACGAGCAGAGGCCGGCGCCGUGUGUGUUGUGGGCAAACACUUGCUGUUAUAUAACCUCAAAUUUAACCAACAAAAUGUUACUGCAUGUUACAAAAAUUAUAUAAGUGGAAACUAUGUUCAAAUACAAAUCCGACGAUAUAAUUUUUGGCGACAUGCAUUCGUAUUUUAUUAAUUAAACCCUACUUAUAAACCAGGAUGGGCGUAGUUAAUUAAAUCGCAAAUAUAUUUUUAUUAAACGUAUGUGUAUGUGUCCUUUUGUCCUUCUCUCGCACGUCUUGUCACCCCACUGCUGCAGACGGUUCGAGCGCAAACUUGAGCAGCACGCGGGGGUGUUUUUUGGCCAAACGGUGUUGAGCCCGUUCCCGCGCAACCGCGUAGGUUCCUGAUAACCCACAAGUGUAGGGGAUCGCAACAACUUUCGAGGGUAAAGUAUUCAACCCAAUUUUAUUGAUUCAACACAAGGGGAGCCAGAGAAUAUUUUUGAGUCUUAGCAGUUGAGUUGUCAAUUCAACCACACCUGGAUAACUUAGUAUCUGCAGCAAAGUAUUUAGUAGCAAAGUAGUACGAUAAUAAAGGUAACAGUAGCAAAAGUAAUGUUUUAGGGUUUUGUAGUGAUUGUAACAAUAGCAACGGAAAAGUAAAUAAGCGAAGAACAAUAUGUGAGAAGCUCGUAGGCAAUGGAUCAGUGAUGGAUAAUUAUGUCGGAUGCGAUUCCUCAUGUAAUAGCUAUAACAUAGGGUGACACAGAAUUAGCUCCAGUUCAUCAGUGUAAUGUAGGCAUGUCAUACGUGCUUAUGGAAAAGAACUUGCAUGACAUCUUUUGUCCUACCCUCCCGUGGCAGCGGGGUCCUAGCGGAAACUAAGGGAUAUUAAGGCCUCCUUUUAAUAGAGAACCGAAACAAAGCAUUAGCACAUAGUGAAUACAUGAACUCCUCAAACUAUGGUCAUCACUGAGAAGUAUCCCGAUUAUUGCCACUUCGGGGUUUUCGGAUCAUAACACAUAAUAGGUGACUAUAGACUUGCAAGAUAGGAUCAAGAACACACAUAUAUUCAUGAAACAUAAUAGGUUCAAAUCUGAAAUCAUGGCACUCGGGCUCUAGUGACAAGCAUUAAGCAUAGCAAAGCCAUAGCAACAUCAAUCUCAGAACAUAGUGGAUACCAGGGAUCAAACCCUAACGAAACUAACUUGAUUACAUGGUAAAUCUCAUCCAACCCAUCACCGUCCAGCAAGCCUACGAUGAAAUUACUCACACACGGCGGUGAGCAUCAUGAAAUUGGUGAUGGAGGUUGGUUGAUGAUGAUGACGACGACGAAUCCCCCUCUCCGGAGCCCCGAACGGACUCCAGAUCAGCCCUCCCAAAAGAGAUUAGGGCUUGGCGGCGGCUCCGUAUCGUAAAACGCGAUGAAACUUUCUCUCUGAUUUUUUUCUCCGUGAAACAGAAUAUAUGAAGUUGGAGUUGAGGUCGGCGGAGCCUCAGGGGGCCCACGAGACAGGGGGCACGCCCAGGGGGAGGGCGCACCCCCCACCCUCGUCGACAGGGUGUGGGCCCCCUGAUCUUGAUUCUUUCGCCAGUAUUUUUUAUAUUUCCAAAAAGUGCCUCCGUGGAUUUUCAGGACAUUCCGAGAACUUUUGCUUUCUACACAUAAAACAACAUCAUGGCAGUUCUGCUGAAAACAACGUCAGUCCUGGUUAGUUUCAUUCAAAUCAUGCAAGUUAGAGUCCAAAAUAAGGGCAAAAGUGUUUGGAAAAGUAGAUAUGUUGGAGACGUAACUCCCCCAAGCUUAAACCUUUGCUUGUCCUCAAGCAAUUCAGUUGAUAAACUGAAAGUGAUAAAGAAAAACUUUUACAAACUCUGUUUGCUCUUGUUGUUGUAAACAUGCAAAGCCAGCAUUCAGGUUUUAGCAAAUAUUAUGAACUAACCAUAAUCAUAAUAACAACCAGGUCUCACAAUUACUCAUAUCAAUAGCAUAAUCAGCUAGCAGGCCAUAAUAAUAAAACUCGAAUGACAACACUUUCUCAAAACAAUCAUAACAUGAUUUAACAAAAUGGUGUCUCGCUAGCCCUUUCUGAGACCGCAAAACAUAAAUGCAGAGUACCUUUAAAGAUCGAUGACUGAAUAAACAUUGUAAUUCAUGGUAAAAGAGAUCCAGUCAAGUCAUACCCAAUAUAAACCAACAAUAAUGAAUGCAAAUGACAGUGUGCUAUCCAGCGGGUGCUUUUUAAUAAGAAGGGUGAUGACUCAACAUAAAAGUAAAUAGAUAGGCCCUUCGCAGAGGGAAGCAGGGAUUUGUAGAGGUGCCAGAGCUCGAUUUUAAAAUAGAGAGGAAUAACAUUUUGAGCAACUAUGAGAUGGCUGUAUCUUCCAUACUACAUGCAUUAUAGGCAGUUCCCAAACAGAAUGGUAAAGGUUUAUACUCUCCCAACCACCAACAAGCAUCAAUCCAUGGCUUGCUCGAAACAACGAGUGCCUCCAACUAACAACAACCCUGGGGGAGUUUUGUUUAAUUAUUUUGAUUUGCUUUGAUCUUUUUGGAUCAUGGGACUGGGCAUCGGUUAGCGGCCCUUUCUCGUGAAUGAGGAGCGGAGUCCACUCCUAUUGAGAAUAACCCACCUAGCAUGGAAGAUAUAAGCAGCCCUAGUUGAAACAUGAGCUGCUCGAGCAUACAAAACAGAAUUUCAUUUGAAGGAUUGGAGUUUGGCACAUACAAAUUUACUUGGAACGGCAGGUAAAUACGGCAUAUAGGUAGGUAUGGUGGACUCAUAUGGAAUAACUUUGGGCUUUAUGGAGUUUGGAUGCACAAGCAGUAUUCCCGCUUAGUACAGGUGAAGGCUAGCAAAAGACUAGGAAGCGACCAACUGAGAGAGAGACAACAGUCAUAAACAUGCACUAAAAUUAAUUUACACCGAGUACAAGCAUGAGUAGGAUAUAAUCUACCAUGAACAUAAAUAUCAUGAAGGCUAUGUUGAUUUGUUUCAACUACAUGCGUGAACAUGUGCCAUAUCGAGUCACUCAAAUCAUUCGAAGGAGGAUAUCAUCCCAUCAUACCACAUCAUAAUCAUUCUAAUAGCAUGUUGGCACGCAAGGUAAAUCAUUAUAACUCAUAGCUAAUCAAGCAUUGCACAAGAAACUAUAAUCUCUAAAUGUCAUUGCAAAUAUGUUUACUUCAUAAUAAGCUGAAUCAGAAACGAUGAACUCAUCAUAUUUACAAAAACAAGAGAGGUCGAGUUUAUACCAGCUUUUCUCAUCUAAAUAAGUCCAUCAUAUAUCGUCAUUAUUGCCUUUCACUUGCACAAGCGAAUGAUGUGUAUAAUAAUAAUAGUGCAUAUGCAUUGGACUAAGCUGGAAUCUGCAAGCAUUCAACUCAAGAGAGAACACAGGUAAUAUGGGCUCUAAGUUAAAUAAACAAUCAUGCAUAUGAGAGCCACUAAACAUUUUCAAUAUGGUCCUCUCGACCCCCAAAGGAAAGAAAAGAAAAGAAAACUAUUUACACGGGAAAGCUCCCAACAAGUAAGAAGAAGAACUAGAAAUCUUUUUGGGUUUUCGUUUUAAUUCUACUACAAGCAUGGAAAUUAAACUAACUAAUUUGUUUUGGUUUUUCUUAAGGUUUAUCAAACACACAAGAAGAAAGUGAAAAAGAAAAUGAAACUAGCAUGGAUAAUACAAUGAAAGAUUAUGAGCACCACGACUAGUGUGCGAACAUGAAUGUACAGUCGGUGAGAAAUACGUACUCCCCAAGCUUAGGCUUUUGGCCUAAGUUGGUAUAAUACCAAGGACCGCUGCUACUCUCCCCGGUGUACUGGGAGGUGUACUCAGGAUACCACUGGCUGGCCAUCUCUGGAUCCCACUGGAAAGAUGAUGCACGAUAAGGGUCUAGUGCAGGUUCCGGCUCAGGUUCAGGUUCUGGAGUGGAUGCUUGGGCUCGAUGAGCAUACACUGCCUCUGGUGUAACCAGAAAAUUAUCUGCAAUCGAAUCAAACAACAGAGGCGCAGACAAAAUAAUAGUCUCAUUGUGUUUCUUAUUAAAUCGAAGGUUAUACAAGAGCAUCUUCUCUUUGUUGUCAACAAUAAAUGCAUGUGCUACCAUGCUCUUGUAAUCUAAAUUGUGAGGAGGAAAUUUUUUUCUCCUCUUUCUCAUGGUGCCUAAUAGGUAUCCGAAAAUGUCUAGCAAGACGUGAAGAAUAGAUACCUCCAAAUAUGGGGCCUUUUGUAUGAUUCAGGCCUAGCCGUUUAGCAAUGACGGCACCCAUACUAAAACUAUUAUCUCCAAGCAAGGCAUGUUGAAGAAUGAUAAUAUCAGGAACACUAAAGUUUCCACUAUUUCCACGACCAAUCAAGCAUCUACUAGCAAAUAUGGCAAAGUAGCGUAAAACAGGAAAGUGUAUGCUAGAGAUUUUUGCCUCGGAGCCCUUCUUUGGCUCCUCUACAGCAAUAGUGUUAACAAAGCCAUCCACAUCUUUACGAUGGGGUUCCUCUAAUUCUCCCUCAUAGGGUAUCCUACACACCGCGCAAAAAUUACGUAAAGACAUUGCUCUGAAUUCAUCAUAUAAAUGAAAUGAUACUGAAGGCGGUGACUUCUUAGGAUAAUAAUAAAACUUUGCCCGAAAGUAUUGGUGAGUAAGAGAUACUGAUCGAUUCGGUCGUGGAGGAAACCGGUGAGGCCUGCAUUCUCGAUCAAAGAAUAAAAAUCUUCAAUAAUUCCAGCUUCUUUCAAGAAAUCAUCGCAUGGCCAUUCACACGGCCGUACUUCCGCUAAGCGAGGAAGAUUAUACUUGGCUUGUUCCUUCUCUUUCGCUUGUUUUUCCUGAGAGCCUUGGCUAGAAGAGCCCCUCAAAAGUUUCCUUAACAUUUUCUGAAAAUUUCUGAAAUUUUAGUAACUUCAAAAUAAAAGUGAAUAAAACUAAACAAGAUUGGUAGCAACUACUCCUACAAGUGCCUAGAGCCUAUAUCAUGCAUUAGAAUUGUUUGGGACCUCAUAAAUUCAACAUGCAAGCUCAAGAACAUGGUCACCUAUGCAGCAAAAAUUUGCAAUGAAUAAAGCACUAGAACAAAAACUAAUUGGACCAAUGGAGGAGUCACAUACCAAGCAACAAUCUCCCAAAGCAGUUUUGUGAAUGAAGCUUUGAGCAAGGAGAUCGAAAAUUGCAGCAAAAUGAGCUAGAACUCGUGCUUGAGCUGGAUGGGGAUUUUUUUGGGUAGAAGAUGGAGUGUGGGGGUGCUGGCAGAAGUGGAGGGGGGCCACCAAGGGCCCACGAGACAGGGGGGCGCGCCCAGGUGAGGUAGGCACGCCCUCCACUCUCGUGGCCUGGUGCUUGCCCCUCCUGUAGUGAUUUCAGUGCCUAAAAUCCUCAAAUAUUCCUUAAAAAAUUAUACUAAAUUUGCAGGGCAUUUGGAGCACUUUUAUUUUCGGGAUAUUUUUUUAUGCACGGAUAAUUCAAAAAACAGAGGCAUAACACUAUUUUUGCUUUAUUUAUUCUAAAUAACAGAAAGUAAAAAGAGGCUACAGAAGGUUGUGCCUUCUAGUUUCAUCCAUCUCAUGAUCAUCAAAAUGAAUCCACUAACAAGGUUGAUCAAGUCUUGUUAACAAACUCAUUCCGAAUAACACGGCCGGAACCGAAGAAAUUUCGAAUAACACUAAGUUACCUCGAUGGGGAUAUGAACAUCCCCAACAAUAAGAAUAUCAUACUUUUUCUUGACAGUAGGAAGAGGAAAUUCAAAACCUCCAAUAAUGAUAGUUGGAACUUUUCCAAUACAAUUGAUGCUAUGAACUUGAGAUUGUUUCCUCGGAAAGUGUACCGUAUGCUCAUUUUCAUUAACAUGAAAAGUGAUAUUGCCUUUGUUACAAUCAAUAACAGCCCCUAUAGUAUUCAAAAAAGGUCUACCAAGGUUAAUCGAUAUACUAUCAUCCUCGGGAAUAUCAAGAAUAACAAAGUCCGUUAAGAUAGUGACAUUUGCAACCACAACAUGCACAUCCUCAGAAAUACCGACAGGUAUAGCAGUUGAUUUAUCGGCCAUUUGCAAAGAUAUUUCAGUAGGUGUCAACUUAUUCAAUUCAAGUCUACGAUAUAAAAUGAGAGGCAUAACACUAACACCGGCUCCAAGAUCACAUAAAGCAGUUCUAACAUAAUUUCUUUUAAUGGAGCAUGGUAUAGUUGGUACCCCCGGAUCUCCAAGUUUCUUUGGUAUUCCACCCUUAAAAGUAUAAUUAGCAAGCAUGGUGAAAAUUUCAGCUUUCGGGACCUUUCUUUUGUUUGUAAUGAUAUCCUUCAUAUACUUAGCAUAAGGAUUUACUCUAAGCAUAUCAGUUAAGCGCGUACGUAAAAAGAUAGGUCUAAUCAUUUCAGCAAAGCGCUCAAAAUCCUCAUCAUCCUUUGUCUUGGAUGGUUUAGGAGGAAAGAGCAUGGGUUUCUGAACCCAUGGUUCUCUUUCUCUACCAUGCUUCCUAGAAACAAAAUCUCCCUUAUCAUAACGUUGAUUCUUUGAUUGUGGGUUAUCAAGAUCAACAGCAGGUUCGAUCUCUACAUCAUUGUUUUUGCUAGGUUGAGCAUCAACAUGAACAUUAUCAUUGACAUUAUCACUAGGUUCAUGUUCAUCACCUGAUUGUGUUUCAGCAUCAGAAAUAGAAAUAUCAUUGGGAUUCUCAGGUGUGUCUACAACAGGUUCACUAGAAGCAUGCAAAGUUCUAUCGUUUUUCUUUUUUUUUGUAAGAACUAGGUGCCUCUAAAUUGUUUCUCUGAGAAUCUUGCUCGAUUCUCUUAGGGUGUCCUUCAGGAUACAAAGGUUCCUGAGUCAUUCUACCAGUUCUAGUAGCCACUCUAACAGCAAAGUCAUUUUUAUUAUUUAAUUCAUCAAGCAAAUCAUUUUGAGCUUUCAGUACUUCCUCGGCUUGAGUAGCAACCAUAGAAGCAUAUUUGCUAAUGAGUUAAGUUCACCUUUAACUCUAGCCAUAUUAUCGCUCAUGCGUCCUAUCUCGAAAGCAUUAUUCUUUAACUCUCUACCAACAUAAGCAUUAAAACUUUCUUGUCUAGCCAUGAAGUCAUCAAAUUCAUCUAACCAUGGGCUAUGAAAUUUAGUAGAGGGGAUUUCAACUUUAUCAUAUCUAUAGAGAGAAUUUACCUUUACUACCUGUGUCGGGUUAUCAAGACAUGUGGUUCUUCAACAGGCGGUAUAUUAAGACCAUGUAUUUCUUCAAUAGGUGGUAAAUUCUUAACAUCUUCAGCUUUAAUACAUUUUUCUUUCGUUGAUUUCUUUGCCUCUUGCAUAUCUUCGGGACUGAGAAAUAGAACACCUCUCUUCUUCGGAGUGGGUUUAGGAAUAGGCUCAGGAGUUGGCUCAAUUGGUUUAGGAAUUGCCUCAGGAGUUGGCUCAGGAAGAGUCCAAUUAUUUUCAUUAGUUGACAUAUUAUUCAAUAGUAAUUCAGCUUCGUCGACUGUUCUUUCCCUGAAAACACAACUAGCACAACUAUCCAAGUAGUCCUUGGAAGCAUCGGUUAGUCCAUUAUAAAUGAUAUCAAGUAUUUCAUUUUUCUUAAGAGGAUGAUCAGGCAAAGCAUUAAGUAAUCGGAGAAGCCUUCCCCAAGCUUGUGGGAGACUCUCUUCUUUGAUUUGCACAAAAUUAUAUAUUUCCUGCAAGGCAGCUUGUUUCUUAUGAGCAGGAAAAUAUUUAGCAGAGAAGUAAUAAAUCAUAUCCUGGGGACUACGCACGCAACCAGUAGCAAGAGAAUUGUACCAAGUCUUAGCAUCACCUUUUAACGAGAACGGGAAUAUCUUAAGGAUAUAAUAAUAGCGAGAUUUAUCAUCAUGAGUAAACAGGGUAGCUAUAUCAUUCAACUUGGUAAGAUGUGCCACAAAAAUUUCAGAUUCAAGGCCAUAAAAAGGAUCAGAUUCAACUAAAGUAAUAAUUUUAGGAUCAACAGAGAAUUCAUAAUCCUUAUCAGUAACACAGAUAGGUGAAGUAGCAAAAGCAAGGUCAGGUUUCAUUCUAGCAUUAAGAGACUGCUGCUUCCAUUUAGCUAAUAUUUUCUUAAGAUCAUAUCUAUCAUUGCAAGCAAAGAUAGCUCUAGCAGCUUCUUCAUUCAUAACAUAACCCUCAGGAACAACAGGCAAUUCAUAAUCAUUAGGAGAAUUUUCAUCAUCACUAUCAUCAAUAAUAGCAUCUUCAAUAAUUUCAUUCCCCCUAACUCUAGCAAGUUGUUCAUCAAAAAAUUCACCUAAUGGCAAAGUAGUAUCACGCACAAAAGUAGUUUCAUCAUAAGUAUCAUGCAAAGCAGAAGUGGCAUCAUCAAUAACAUGCAUCAUAUCAGAAUUCAUAGCAGUAACAGGUUUAGGUGUCGCAAGCUUACUCAAAACAGAAGGAAAAUCUAGUGCAGAGCUAGAUGGCAGUUCCUUACCUCCCCUCAUAGUUGAGGGAAAAAUCAUAGUUCUGUCGUCUUUCAAGUUCCUCAUAGUGAUCAACAGAUAUAAAUACCAGGUGACUCAAAGAACAGAGCUAUGCUCCCCGGCAACGGCGCCAGAAAUUAGUCUUGAUAACCCACAAGUGUAUGGGAUCGCAACAGCUUUCGAGGGUAAAGUAUUCAACCCAAAUUUAUUGAUUCGGCACAAGGGAAGCCAAAGAAUAUUCUUGAGUAUUAGCAGUUGAGUUGUCAAUUCAACCACACCUGGAUAACUUAGUAUCUGCAACAAAGUAUUUAGUAGCAAAGUAGUAUGAUAAUAAAGGUAACAGUAGCAAAAGUAAUGUUUUUGGGUUUUGUAGUGAUUGUAACAAUAGCAACGGAAAAGUAAAUAAGCGAAGAACAAUAUGUGAAAAGCUCGUAGGCAAUGGAUCAGUGAUGGAUAAUUAUGUCGGAUCUGAUUCCUCAUGUAAUAGCUAUAACAUAGGGUGACACAGAACUAGCUCCAGUUCAUCAAUGUAAUGUAGGCAUGUAUUCCGUAUAUAGUCAUAUGUGCUUAUGGAAAAGAACUUGCAUGACAUCUUUUGUCCUACCCUCCCGUGGCAGCGGGGUCCUAGCAGAAACUAAGGGAUAUUAAGGCCUCCUUUUAAUAGAGAACCGAAACAAAGCAUUAGCACAUAGUGAAUACAUGAACUCCUCAAACUAUGGUCACCACUGAGAAGUAUCCCGAUUAUUGUCACUUCGGGGUUUUCGGAUCAUAACACAUAAUAGGUGACUAUAGACUUGCAAGAUAGGAUCAAGAACACACAUAUAUUCAUGAAACAUAAUAGGUUCAGAUCUGCAAUCAUGGCACUCGGGCCCUAGUGACAAGCAUUAAGCAUAGCAAAGCCAUAGCAACAUCAAUCUCAGAACAUAGUGGAUACCAGGGAUCAAACCCUAACGAAACUAACUUGAUUACAUGGUAAAUCUCAUCCAACCCAUCAUCGUCCAGCAAGUCUACGGUGGAAUUACUCACGCACGGCGGUGAGCAUCAUGAAAUUGGUGAUGGAGGAUGGUUGAUGAUGACGACGGCGACGAAUCCCCCUCUCCUGAGCCCCGAACGGACUCCAGAUCAGCCCUCCCGAGAGAGAUUAGGGCUUGGCGAUGGCUCCGUAUCGUAAAAUGCGAUGAAACUUUUCUCUGAUUUUUUUCUCCGCGAGACAGAAUAUAUGGAGUUGGAGUUGAGGUCGGCGGAGCCUCAGGGGGCCCACGUACAGGGGGCGCGCCCAGGUGGAGGGCGUGCCCCCAACCCUCGUGGACAGGGUGUGGCCCCCUAGUCUUGAUUAUUUUGCCAGUAUUUUUUAUAUUUUCCAAAAAGUGCCUCCGUGGAUUUGCAGGACAUUCCGAGGACUUUUGCUUUCUACACAUAAAACAACAUCAUGGCAGUUUUGCUGAAAACAGCGUCAGUCCGGGUUAGUUUCAUUCAAAUCAUGCAAGUUAGAGUCUAAAACAAGGGCAAAAGUGUUUGGAAAAGUAGAUACGUUGGAGACGUGUCAGUUCCCGCGCAAGCUUACAGCCCGACCCGAUGAAAUCCUGCUCAGCACAUUUUUCCUUGGCUUACUAGGGAAUCUGUCAGUGUACAUACGGGUGUUCUAUCUAAAAUGUUUGCGACGUUAGAGUGGCAGCUAGUUGUUUUAAAAUGCCUUUGUUGAGAGUGCAGCUAAUCUGCACCCACGCUUAGAAAAAAAUUCAAAAAAAUCCAAAGUUUUUUGUGGUGGUAGAUAAUUUGAUGCGUGAGGUGCGCCCCAAAAUUCAACUCAUUUGAGCAUUUGAGCAGCUCUCGACAAAAAAGACAAAAUCAGGGUCUGUAAAAAUGUUUACUGUUCACGCACUGUUUUGACCCGAUUAUUUUUUUUUGCCGAGAGCUGCUCAGAUGUCCAAAUAAGUUGAAUUUUGGGGCGCUCCUCAGGCAUCACAUUAUCUACCACCACAAAAAAAUUGGAAUUUUUUGAAUUUUUCUAGUAUUUGUUUUGAAUUUUUUGCUGAGAGGAAGCAGAUGAGACGGGCACCGUUUUGAGUUUUCGCUUUGUUGACUGUUAUUCGAGUGCGCCUUCUCUCAAAAUGGACACGAGAGUUACCACAUCAUGUCGGGUGCUGAUGUUUGCUAGAACUACGUCGGUAUUUCCCCAAAGAGGAAGGGAUGAUGCAGUAUAGCGACGAUAGGUAUUUCCCUCAGUGAUGAGACCAAGGUUAACCAGUAGGAGAACCUCCUCACACCACGUAAACAACACCUGCACACAAAUAAUAAAUACUCGCAACCUGAUGUGUUAAAGGGGUUGUCAUCCCUUUCGGGUACGACGCCUCAAGAUAGGCAAAUAACGUGAGAUAAAAGUUGUAGAUUGGAUAAAUAGAUCGCGGAACAAAUAAAUUGCAGCAAGGUAAUUUUUCUAUUUUUGGUUUAAUAGAUAUGAAAAUAAAUGAAAGGGAAAAUAGAUAGCAAAGGACAAUAUGACGAAAAGAGAUCCGGGGGCCAUAGGUUUCACUAGUGGCUUCUCUCGAAAAAAAUAGCAAACGGUGGGAAAACAAUUACUGUUGGGCAAUUGAUAGAACUUCAAAUAUUCAUGACGAUAUCCAGGCAAUGAUCAUUAUAUAGGCAUCAUGUCGAAGAUUAGUAGACCGACUUCAGCCUGCAUCUACUACUAUUACUCCACACAUCAACUGGUAUCCAGCAUGCAUCUACUGUAUUAAGUUAAUGGAAAAACAGAGUAAUGCAAUAAGAACGAUGACAUGAUGUAGACGAGAUCUGUUUAUCUAUUGCGGAGAUAUAGAUUUGAUCUUGUUAUCCUUAGUAGCAACGAUACGUACGUGUCGGUUCCCCUUCUGUCACUGGGAUCAAGCACCGUAAGAGCGAACCCACUACAAAGCACCUCUUCCCAUUGUAAGAUAAAUAGAUCAAGUUGGCCAAACAAAACCCAAAUAUCAGAGAAGAAAUACGAGGCUAUAAGCAAUCAUGCAUAUAAGAGAUCAAAGAAGACUCAAAUAACUUUCAUUGAUAAAAACAUAGAUCUUAUCAUAAACUCAAAGUUCAUCGGAUCCCAACAAACACACCGCAAAAAGACUUACAUCAUAUGGUUGGAGACCAUUCUAUUGAUAAUCAAGAGAGAGAGGAUGCCAUCUAGCUACUAACAACAGAUCCGUAGGUCUACAAAGAACUACUCACGCAACAUAGGAGAGGCACCAAUGGAAGUGGGGAACCCCUCCAUGACGGUGUCUAGAUUGGAUCUGGUGGUUCUGGACUCUGCGGCAGCUAGAUCAAUAUUUCGUCGACUCCCCUAGGGUUUCUGGAAUAUUGUGGUAUUUGUAGAGCAAAGUGGCGGUUCGGGGGACACUCGAGGUGGGCAGCACCCACCUGGCACGCUUGGGCCUCCUAGCGCGCCCUAGUGGGUGCUUCUUCCCUCGAGCAGCCCUCGAGGUACUUCCUUGGCCCACUGGCUUUCUUCUGGCAAAAAAAACCUCCAGGAGUUUCGUUGCAUUUGUCGUUUGAUAUUGAUUUCCUGCGAUGUAAAAAACAUGCAGAAAACAACAACUGGCACUGGGCACUAUGUCAAUAGGUUAGUACCAAAAAACCAUCCUUACAGCCAGCACAUGGACAAGACAUAAAAUCAUCUGCCCGCUUGUUUGCCUCAGCCGCAAGCAGAAAAGUACGUACGCCAUUAACGAACUAGGGAGAGCAUCGGUCAUCGUGCAUCCAUUACCGGCUCAUCUUCAUUACACAGCACCGAAAAGACCAAAUUAAUACAAGUUCAUACAUAAAGGUCCAUGCACACUUAUUCUCAUAAAACAACAUACAAACACUCUAGCUAAAGCAUUUAAAUGCAACAACAAAUGAGAUCAACAUGGCAACUAAGGUAACAAUUGAUCCAACAGCAUAAUAUUACCAAGCCUCACUAUCAAUGGCAUAUUUUCUAAUCUUUCUAAUCUUCAAGCGCAUUUUCUCCAUCUUGAUCUUGUGAUCAUCGACGACAUCGGCAAGAUGCAACUCCAAUUCCAUCUUCUCGUCCUCAAUUCUUUUCAAUUUUUCUUUCAAAUACUCAUUUUCAUUUUGAACUAAAUUUAACCUCUCAAGAAUAGGGUCGGUUGGAAUUUCCGGUCAGCAUACCUCCUAGAUAAAAAUAUCUAUGUCAACUUGAUGGGCAUAAUUUUCAUAAACAUGAAGUGCAGCAAAUAGUUAUAAAAUAGAAUAUACCACAUCCGUAUCAUAAACCGGACGAGGGCCGACGGGGACGGAUAUCAAAACCAUGACACUAUGUAUAACAAACAACGUACGGGUAUGAUAAUUAUACAAGUAACUAUAUAUCUAAAUCUCACAAAUAACAUGAUUUUUUAUAUAAAAAAGAUAAGAACAAGAGGUUCACCACAAGGUGGUGCCGGCGUCAUGACGGUGCGGGCGAUUGACGAUGGUUAGGAAGGAGACAGGAAGGCACUAAGUAAACCACACCUACAUAUGCAAACUAAGGGUUAUUUUGAGCACAAGUUGCAUAUAAAUCAAAUAAACUACCACAUAUAAUUCCUCCCAAAAUACUAAAACCCAUAAGUUAAUCAUUAUAUAGAGCAUUGCAAGAGCUAAUAUAGCAAUGAGAGAUUAAAGGACAAAGUUGCUAACCUUUGUGAUCACUUGAAUGCAUGGGGACGUUCAAAUCUUGAAAAAAAUUGGGCCAAAUGUGUGAUGAGCUCGAGAAAGAGGGGAAGAACAAAGAGGAGAGGAAAGGAAAGGGGAAGAAUAGAGAGCUGGGACUGGACGAAGGGGUUUAUAUAGAGGCAUCUUUAGUCCCGGUUGGUUAUACAAGCCGGGACUAAAGGUACAUCUCUAGUCCCGGUUCGUUCCACGAACCAAGACUAAAGGUGUUUGUGGGGCCGCAGCCUGACACAAGCCUGCCACCACCUCUUUAGUACCGGUUCGUGGCAUGAACCGGUACUAGAGGUUCGCCACGAAUCGGGACUAAUGACCACCGCCCGCUUAGCCGUUGGAACCGGCACUAAUGGUCACAUUAGUGCCGGGACUAAUGAGCUUCACAUUAGACCCUUUUUCUACUAGUGAAAUAGUACAUUAGCUACCAAAAUAUAUGAUAGGGCAUAUCAUGGAGAAUAUCUUAGCUUUUGAAUGCCACUUUCUAUCAAUGAUUUAAACAUAUCAGGAAAACUAAAAAACACUAAUCUACCAAAUCAGAAACAAAGUCAGGCAGGCACACCAUCUGGACAAAUAGUUGAGGAUGUAUACGUGCAUGCCGACCAUUUGUACCUAGAGUACAAACUUUUAUACACACUUAUGUAUGACCGAGGCCGAGGGGAUUGUGGUGAGGCACCGACCCUGCCGUGCGGACCACGCAUCGGGCCAAGCCGGGUUAGCUGGCAACGCCCGGCGACGGGCGCCUGCCCUCGCCCCACCCUCGCCCUCCCCAUAUAAAGUUGGGUUCCUCCUUGGGAGAGAACCCGAAGGUGACUCCCCGACCUCGCCGCACAUCACCCAUUGUUAACCUCCUCCUCCCUCCUGCAUUUCACCGUCACCAUCGUCUUCCUCCUCCCUCCUCUCCCCUUCUAACAGUUCACUCCAUAGCAGGAACGCCGUGCUCGUCUCCUUCCGCUCCUCACUACAGAUCCGAGGAGCAGUUCGCCGGGCAGGUCACCGGACCAGGUUCCUCCCUCUCCCUCCCCCUCUCCCUCGACUCCUCCCCUCUUAUCUUCUGUCUCUGAUUCGUCCUGCUCUUACCACGCGGAUCUAGCACAGGUUGGUUCGGAUCGCACCAAAGGACAAGAUGGAGUGAACAUUAUUGACCGUUUGCGAUUUGUACUAAAUUUUUAUAGUUAUUCAAGACUUACUUAUUAUGAAGUCAUAAUCAUAGUUAAAACAUUUUAUAUAAUUUAUAAUUUGAUGAUAAUUUUGCAAAACAUAUUACAUCAUUAUUUGUUGUAGCUGUAAUAUUCUUUGUUGAAAACGUGUGUCCAUUUUAAAUUGUGUCUAUGAUUACACUUUUUUAUUUUCUUUACAUUCUUGGCCUUAACAAGAUAAUUGAAAAUAAGGAAAAUAGAAUUGCAUGCGUUAGCAAAAUAAUUUGUGAUACUUACAUUAAUAUGGUGUGUAUAUAAAUGUGUGUGCAACAGUAAAGUGUAUGAUCUCGGAAAUGUCUUGACAAUGGUUUCUAGUAUAUACGUAGAUAGAAAAUGCCUAGUGUGUAUAAACUAUUUAGGAGGAGCUUAUCACCUAGAGUGUAUAAACUAUCUAGGAUGAUCUUAUCAGUGAAUCAAUCAAUGGCUGUUGAUUUGUCAUUGUUUUGUCAAAUGUGUCUCACAUAUUACAACGGGUUCAAUAUUCCAUUUUUUAAAAGCAUGUGCUCUAUAUUUGUUACUGAAAUACAAACAAUCUAACAACGAUCACGUUUUGUACGACAGAUAUUGUGUUCAUAGGAAAGAGACUACAACGAGGACCCUCUCGAUGACAAAUUUGAUGUUUUUCUUCAUUGCCUCCACCUUGAUAGACACCGUCAUCCUAGUACUAGCUACCGCUGCCUUGUUUUUUGAGUAAAAUGCACUGGAGGACAUUGAACUUAGCAUAUGCGCACACGAAGAGUGCAUUUUACUCUUGGUUUUUCUAGCGACCACUAGGUUGAUAGUCGCCACCACCUGCUGAAUAGGCGCCAUUACCGCUGGUGCUGCGGCUGUUAGAUCUGCCUCUAUUCCAGUGAGGUCCGAUGUUGUAUCCUCGCCCUCUUUUCUUUCUAUAUUGGCUGAGUAUCCCCGGUUUUGGGUGUCAAUACAUCCCUCUGCCGAGAGAAGCUGUCAUACAGGUCGCCGAUAGUGAGAGGUGCCUGAUCACCACGACCAGAUAUGGUGGAGCGGGCGCCGACGAAUGGAUUGUAGCCAUUGUCCAUUCCAGCAAGGAUCUAAGAUCAAAUCAUCAUCGUCUAACUUCUUUCCCAUUGCAGCCAUCUCGUCCGUGAUCCCCUUCACGAAGUUAUAUGAUCUGGCACUGACCGUAUAAUCACCUUAAUAUGUAUAUAGUGAUCAUAUUCUUAAGUACAGUGACCAAAGUGAGCGUACGCGACAAGUUUAAUGACCAACAGUGCAUUUUACUCUUGUUUUUUUCUAGCGACCACUAGAUUGAUAGUCGCCACCACCUGCAGAAUAGGCGCCAUUACUGCUGGUGCUGCGGCUGUCAGAUGUUGUAUCCUCGCUCUCUUUUCUUGCUAUAUUGGCUGAGUAUCCCCGGUUUUGGGCGUCAAUACAUCCCUCUGCCGAGAGAAGCUGUCAUACAUGUCCUCGAGAGUGAGAGGUGGCUGAUCACCACGACCAGAAAUGGUGGAGCUGGCGCUGACGAAUGGAUUGUAGCCAUUGUCCAUUCCAGCAAGGAUCUAAGAUGGAAUCAUCAUCGUCUAACUUCUUUCCCAUGAGAACGGAUUUUUAGAACCCGGGUGCCUAGGCACCCCAUUAUCUCACCGUUGGUCCAAAAAGUAGCUCGUGGGGAUAUGUGCCAUAGAACUGUAGCGAUAAAACUAUUAGCAGGCUUGCUAAUCGCUAAACGAGCCUAGAACGACACUGUGCCUGUAGGUGUGAUUCCCCUAGCAAAGGAGACGUGGACUUGACAUGUCGGUCCAUGUUAAAUAAAAAAUAGAGAAAGGCUGACGAGGCCACUCCAUCUACAGUACCACGGUUCACAUCUGUGCGACGUACAUAUUGCGGUGAGCAGACGAGCAGCAGGAGAUUGCACGGCCGGCUCUGCCAGAUUCCUUUUCUGGACUAGUUUCGUUUCUUGGCGUUCAAACGUGAUGACAGGCCAGCUUACCUUUUUCUCCCUAAAGAACGAUUCCUGCAAAUAAUAACGGGCCUAGACGCUGCUGAACACCAUAUUGCGUAUGGUAAAGGACUACACUGGCCCAAGGUAUAUACUACAUUCAUGAGAGAGGUUUUACGAUGCGAUUUUAUGCUUCUAAAAGCACACUUAAUCAAAGUUUUUUUACAUGCUUUUUAUCGUGUUUUCAGUGAACCUGGAAUUUCAUUCGGAUUUAUCAAGAACCAUAAUACAAGGGUGGGUCCCACGCGCAGAAAAUGCAACCUGAUCCAGUGCAUUGUCCAUCACACUACGACAUCUAGAACUACUGAUUAAAACUAGGAUGUUACCAUAAUAGGCCCAUGCGAUGAGCAGGCGGCCUAUCCGUCGCCGCAGAUGAAGAAGACAACGAAGCCUCCUCUUGCAAGUGGAUAGCAAUUCCAGGUUGCGUGUUCCCCAUUCUCACGCUGAUCCACCCUCGCCUUCGCGCAUUGAAGGAAGCCUAAUUAUUUUUGAAUCAGGAAUAUUAGUUAUUAUUGAUGAAAAAACAUAUAGCAUUUUUGUGUAAGAAAUACUCUAAGUGCCCAAGUCCCUCGUAAAUGAAGGAUCUUGGUCAUAUGGUCUGCCUUUGCAAAAUCAUACACGGGCAUUUUCAACACUAACCCUUAAAAUAGUUAUUGUAUUUGUCCGCGGAUUGGUUCAGAUCUGUAUGUGGGCACAAAUAUGGGAGAUGGCUAUCUAACCCUAUCUGCAUCGACGGUAUCGGUUGCACUCGUUUUCUUAGAGCAUCUACAGCCGGGCUCCUCAUAUUGACCGGGCGGGCGUAGGGACCACUGACCGGACAGGAGGGAAAAUGAAAAAGUUGACAAAAAUCGGACCCCUCAAAGCCUCCUUAAAUGCCUGGGCUGCCCGGUAGCUCUCAUAUUUAUCGCAUACUUCCUCCGUUUUUAAAUAUAAGUCUUUUUAGAGAUUUCAAUAUGAACUAUAUGCGGAUGUGUGUAGAUGUAUUUUAGAGUGUAGUUUCACUCAUUUUGCUUUGAAUGUAGUCUGUAGUGAAAUCUCUAAAAGGACUUAUAUUUAGGAACAGAGGGAAUAUAUGAGAUGAGUAUGAGGAAUGCCCGGCAUGUCCGGUCAGUGGUCAUGCGUCCGCACAUUUGAUCGGGCCCACCAUGACGAGGGUGCAUAACCGAGCCCAAUAGGAAGCCCGUGACACUAACCCUAACAUGCUCUCUCUCUCUCUCUCUCACUCUCUCUCUUUCUCUCUCUCUCUCUUUUUGUUCGACCGCACCGGCACGAGGACACACACAUGAGAUCGACUCACAGGAGCUCGCGUCGCAGCCAUCUAGAGUGGUUCGCAGGAGGUCACGCAGCUACCGUCUAGAGUGGCUCGCGGGAGCUUGCGCCGCCGCCGUCUAGAGUGGCCCGCAGGAGGUCACGCCUCCGCCGCCUAGAGUGGCUCGCAUGAGUUCACGCCGCCGCUGUCUAGAGUCGCUCGUAGGAGUUCGCACCUUAUCGUCUAGUCUCUCUUAGUGGAAGACGAAUCUAUUAUAUCAGAUAGUCUUAUUCAUCCCAUGUGAUUAUAUGUUUUUUUAUGGUGCUAACCAAAUAAACUCGCUCAUAUUGCACUCAUGUUCCGGGUUACAACGGUCGUUCUUGUUCCAUGAACAUCAUGCCUUACCAGAUGUUCUAGGUACAACUACCGUUCUUGUUCCACGAACAAAAUGCCUAACCAGAUGUUCUGGGUAGAACUACCGUUCUUGUUCCACGAACAACAUGUCUGACGAGGUAUUCAAGGUACAACUGCCAUUCUUGUUCAAUGAACAACAUGCCUAACCAGAUAUUCCAGGUAUAAUUGUAAUUCUUGUUCCACGAACAACAUGCGUGACUAGAUGUUCCAGGUACAACUGUUGUUCUUUUUCCACUAACAACACACAUAACCAGAUGUUCCAGGUACAACUAUCGUUCUUGUUCCACAAACAAGACACCUGAACAAAUGUUCCAAGUACAACUAUCAUUCUGGUCCCAUGAAUAACACGCCUAACCAGAUGAACAAGAACGAAAGUUGUACCUGGAACAAUCGGUCACGCCGCCGCCGUCUAGAAUGGCUCGCGGGAGGUCACACCGCCGCCGUCUAGAGUGGCUCGUAGGAGUUCGUCCAUGUGAUUAUGCUCUUUUAUGGUGUUAACCAAAUAAACUCGCUCAUAUUGCACUCAUGUUCCAGGUACAACGGUCGUGCUUGUUCCAUGAACACCAUGCCUUAUCGGAUGUUCCAGGUACAACUACCGUUCUUGUUCCACGAACAACAUGUCUGACCUGAUGUUCCAGGUACAACUACCGUUCUUGUUCCACGAACAACAUGCCUGACGAGAUGUUCUAGGUACAACUACCAUUCUUGUUCAAUGAACAACAUGCCUGACCAGAUGUUCCAGGUAUAACUGUAAUUCUUGUUCCACGAACAACAUGCCUCACUAGAUGUUCCAGGUACAACGGUUGUUCUUUUUCCACGAACAACACACCUGACCAGAUGUUCCAGGUACAACUAUCGAUUUUGUUUGACAAACAAGACGCCUAAACAGAUGUUCCAAGUACAACUAUCGUUCUGGUUCCAUGCAUAACACGCCUGACAAGAUGUUCUAGGUACAACUGGCAUUCUUGUUCCAUGAACAACAUGCCUGGCCAGUUGUUCCAUGUACAACUAUUGUUGUUGUUGUUUUUCGGACGUAGUUCGCCAUCCAAUGCAGUAUCCUAUUUUUCUGCGGACAUGUUUGGCUGUCCGAAAUCCCGUAAAGCAAACACAAAAUGGGGCUUCACGGGAGUCCGGACCGCCGCCACAUAGGUCUCCGACACCCACGGCCCAUCCAAAUCCUCCUUCCGGAUCACUUUGUUGUCACUCCGUCCCCUGCUCCCCCUUACUCUCCAUCCGAACCCUGCUCGUCCACCACCGAUGACCUCUCCCCCCGUGCCGACCAGGCAUUACCGGACGACGAAGCCCCCCUCCCCCACCCACACGGUUGACCGUCGUGGAUUACUUUGUCGUCCACCCAGGAUCUAUCCAUAGGUAGGUACCCUCUGCACCCAUGUCAAUGUCGUCCAUUGCAGACAUCACGCUUGACAAUUGUUUGGUCAAUUGCUAUUGAGCCUUUUUUACCUUCUUGUUUUCUGAAGUAAAGUAUGAUGGUUGGGUACUUGGUGAUGGUGGAUGAGUUGUGGUGCGAUGCGUGAAAUGUUGUAUAUGACCUCUUUGUAGACAUGAGCCAAGUGGGCUUAAAGACACUAGCAAAACGUGCAUGUUUUGUUUUAUGAGAAGAAGCACUUCCCGCCCUAUGAUUCGCAUAUGAUCUGUGAUCACGAUGUUGAAGUCGCUAGGCCAUCGGAGUUACACCAUAUCCAACUCAGUUAUGAAGUUUUGCAUGCGAUUGCACGAUGAGAGGCAAUGUGUCUUGUUGGUGCUCUACGUGUUGGUCAAUGCAUCGAUUCACUCAAUGUUAUGACUUGGUAAUCAUCAAAUUCCAUAGUCGAGACGUGAUGCCUCUCGUGCCACAGGACAAUAGGAAACCCAUGCCACUAACCCAACAUGCACUAUCUCUCUUUCUUUGUCUGGCCGCGUCAACAUGAGGAAGCAGACAUUAGAUCGACUCGCAGGAGCUCACAUGCGCCGCCGUCUGGAGUGGCUUGCAGGAGUUCGCGCCUUGUCAUCUAGUCUCUAUUAGUGGUGGAUGAAUCCAUUAUAUCAGAUAGUCUUAUUCAACUUACGUGAUUAUAUUUUUUUAUGGUGUUAAACAACUGAAUUCGCUCAUAUUGCACUCAUGUUUCAUGUACUACUGUCGUUCUUUUUCCACGAACAACAUGACUUACCAGAUGUUCCUGGUACAACUACCAUUCUUGUUUCACGAACAACAUGCCUCACCAGAUGUUCCAUGAACAACAUGCCUAACCAGAUGUUCUAGGUAUAAGUACCAUUCUCGUCCCAUGAAGAACAUGCCCAGCCAAACAUUCUAGGUAUAACAUGCUUGACCAGAUGUUCCGGGUACAAAUUUCGUCCUUGUUCCGUGAACACCAUGUUUGACCAAAUAUUCCAGGUACAACUGCCGUUCUUGUUCCUGGAACAAGAUGUUUAACCAGAUUUUUCAGGUAUAACCGCCGUUCCUAUUCAUUGAACAAGAUGCCUGACUAGAUGAUCUAGGUACAACUCCUGCUCGUGGAACAAGAUGUCUGACUAGAUAUUCCGUGUACAUUAGUAUUUCUCUCUACCUUACCUAUUCCGGGUACAUCAAUAUUCCACUCUCCCUUGCCUCUGUUCCAGGUACAUCAAUUAGACCUCACCGCGCCCGUCAUGUUCCUGGUACAGUACUUGGGCAAUAUGUUCCCGGAACAGGUUAUCGCGAAUUCACGAUGCUACGACAAGAGAUGCCAGCUUCGCGAUCAUUUUUUAUUCUUGGGUCGAUUUUACAUGCGUAGACCGGUCGAGGCUGGGACAACAUUGUUACAGAUACCCUUGCAAAAAAAAAAACAUUGUUACAGAGAGGACAGGCACACAGAUUGACACGUACCACAUGUCCAUGCAUCAAUGUGUGGUAAUGACGCGCCAUAUUCCUGCACACCCUAUUUAUUGGCUUACAAAAAGAUGUGGGCCCCAUCUAUUGUCACGUAGAGUAUGCAUUAACAAUAGAUUCUUGCCAUGCACAGAAAAAGCAGAUUCCUGGGUCAAGAUUUAGAGUCCCAACACUUGAGCAGGGAUCGUUCGUGUCAAUACGCCAGCUCGUAGCACUAGACCGGAAUCUAAGUAGGCGUGCGCGCGCGACACUACACGUUCAAAAUAAAACCAUCAUUGUUUAUUGGAUGAAAUGAAAGGCUAGAGAUUUUUCUUUCUUUACUACUACUCCCUCCGUUCCUUCACCACACGAGGCGUUCACGUGAUCAUGUUCGCUUUUUACAGUGGCAUGCAUUCGUGCAGGCGAGACAGGGCUGUCUUGUGUACUAUGCGGUCAGGUCCAGCUGUUUUUAGAAAAGGAGGAUGACCCCCGGUCUCUGCAUCUGGACGAUGCAUACAGCCAUUUUAUUAAUUAUUCUUAUAAGACCUUACAAAGUCAUACAACAGUAAGACUAAAGCCGCUGUCUAAGCAACAAACCGGCGAACCUCAGGUAGGGGGUCCCGAACUGUGCGUCUAGGCGGAUGGUAACAGAAGACAAGGGACACGAUGUUUUUACCCAGGUUCGGGCCCUUUUGAUGGAGGUAAAACCCUACUCCUGCUUGAUUGAUAUUGAUGAUAUGGAUAGUACAAGAGUGGAUCUACCACGAGAUCAAGGAGGCUAAACCCUAGAAGCUAGCCUAUGUUUUGAUUGUUGUUUGUCCUAUGGACUAAAACCCUCCGGUUUAUAUAGACACCGGAGAGGGCUAGGGUUACACAGAGUCGGUUACAAUGGUAGGAGAUCUACAUAUCCGUAUCGCCAAGCUUGCCUUCCACGCCAAGGAAAGUCCCAUCCGGACACGGGACAAAGUCUUCAAUCUUGUAUCUUCAUAGUCUUGGAGUCCGGCCAAUGAUGAUAGUUCGGCUAUCCGGACACCCCCCAGUCCAGGACUCCCUCACCUGGCCUCCGCCGCGCCAAGCCGUCGCCGUCCAAGGACGGGCCGACCUCCCGCUGCCUGCCGCCAUCCGCCGCGCCGCAGAACCCAGAUUGGUCGCGCCACCACACGCCUUGGGGUCCUCCCCACCCCGGGGACGCGCGAGAGAGGAGAUCCCCCGCCACCGCCGUCGGCCCCCGGGCUUAGCCCGGCGGCGUCUUCCGGCGGCGGCGGAGGGAGGGGAGGAGGAAUUUUGUGGCGGCGGCAGCUAGGUUUCUAGCCGCCCAAGUCGCCCCAGAGGAGGACGACGCGGGAGUCAGGUCCAGCUGGACUACAAUGUGGCAAAUAUCACAUGAUACCAUCCUCAGGCAUCUCUGGCUGGACUGAAACAUCCGUGGAUGUGCCUGGUCAGUCGUGUUAACUUCCUAUUUGCCUAUCCACACAGUCAUGUUUCUCACUUUUUUCUUAUAAGUCUAGUCAUAUGCAUAUAAUUGGUGACAUAGGAGAGAAAGAAAGAAAACAAAUAAUAAAGAAAGAAAAAAGAUGCUCAAUGAUGAGCCCAAUUCUAUGUGGUGGACAUAGAACCACUGACCGGACACGCCCCGACACUUCUCAUACUCAUCUCAUAUGAGAUUAAUAUGAGGGGUGCCGGACAGCCCAACAUUUAAGGAGGCUUUUAAGGGUCCGGUUAGGUCAACUUUCUCCUUAUCUCUCAUGUCCCAUUAGUGGUCCCUGCGCCCGCCUGGUCAAUAUAAGGAGUCCGGCUGUAGAUGCUCUUAUGUGAUACCAUGAUGCCGUAUCAAAAACUGUAGUUUUACAUGCUUUAAUUUUUGUUUUCAAAAAAUUUUGGAUGUUCAAACCACAUGAAUGUACAAUCCCUAAAAAAUCAGGUCCAAAUAUGAUAUAUCUAUAUAUAUAUAUUGAGAAACAAAAAUGACAAAUCUAAUGCCACUAUUCAUAUCUGGAUUUGUCGUUUUUGUUCCUCAAUGUGUAUUUACAACUUGGACUUGAAAAUUUUAGGGGUUGUACAUUCAUGUGAUGUCAACAUCCACAAUUUGGGAUCAACACUCAACACUCUACUCCACUUAUCUCGGUCUCCUCCUCUCCUUGGCCCCUUUUGUUUCGAUCCAGGUUGAGUGAUGGCAGCAGCGCAGUGUCCAGUGGCGGAUCCGGCACCGACUGACUCGCCGAACCAGGUGUCAAUGUUGCACGGUGCGGAGUUGGAUGACGCGGAGGAGCUCGCCAUCCGCACCGCACCACUCAUUUCUCCCUAUCUCACGGCGACGUAGUACAGAUGACGACGUUGGUCCAUCAUGUCCACUCAACUCCUGGCGCUCCACGCCCUUCCCGGUCCGCCGCCACCCAUGUCCCUACCAGUCUUCUCUGCCUUCUUCUGACGGGAUCCCGGUCUGCGCUGGGUCCUCGUGCCCGUGACAGCGUACGUGCGAAUGUGGACGUUCGAAUUUGCGGCAUGGGCCGACCUCCACAAGAGGCAGCAGGCGAUAAGAGGGUGGCGACAGGGGAGCCGUUGUCCGCCCGCCAGCCGAACACGAUCGUCGCGCGCAGGCAUAUACGUUGACUUUUAAUGAUAACUAGUGUUUGCAAAAGUCAAGGUGCCCGAAAAUAGUACAACAUUAAAGUACCCAUCAUUGGACGAGGCAAAUGAUAAAUUCUAUGAGGAGUUUUGGCCGUUUGUCAGAAAUAAAAUCUGGUGAGGAUGUCUGGCAUUUUUUAUUUGUUUGGCCCAGAUACAUAUAUUUGGUCUUGUCAUGUGAAUUUUCUUUUUCCAUUUCAUGUUCGUGAACUAUUAGAAAAAUCCCAUGUUCGUAGGUCUGUGGUUCUAGUGGUGUGUUCCGUGGCGCGGCGUAGGUGUCUUCUUCUGCAGACUAGUUCGCUCACAUGCGAGUCACGAGAGCUAACGUGCCGGGUACGGUAUACAGACUGCUCCUAUCCGGAUGGUUGAGACGUGCAUGUGCCCGGUACAUAUAUGAUAAUGUGCCGGGUACAGGAUACAUAUUACUUCUCUAUUUGCAGUAUAGGGUAUAAAUUACUUUCGGCUGAGCUAGCCAUCUAAUAGAACAGCCACAUUACUGGACAUCGAGUUUCUUGGCCCGAGCUCAUAUAAGCUUGGCUGAACAAUAAUUAAAAAAUUGAAAAAAAAAUCUGAUUUUUUUUAGUGACAAGCAUUGUCAAAAGUUUUCAAGCCUUGUAAAAAUUUAUCGUGAAAUGACAUUUAUAGAAGCCAUGACUAAAAAAACUGAUGCUCUAAAAAUGCCAUUUCCAAUAGCAUUUUGGAGCGAUGAUUUUGUUUUCUUUUGCCACGGCUUCUUCAAAUGUCAUUUCACGAUGAAAUUUUACGAACGUUCAAAACUUUUGUUAAUGUUUGUCACUACAAAAAAUCUAGACUUUUUUGAAAAGAAAUCAACACUUUUUCAAUUUUUCAAUACAUGUACCUGGUACAAUCAACACACAUUAAUUGAACUUGGUACAUUCGGGAUGAGUGGUUCGAGAAAAAAAAAUCAUUAUAUAUUUACCAGAAACGAAGGUGUGUGUCAAACAUGGAACCCGAUGGAUGAACACGGACAAUUACUAUUGUACUCGCCCAUAUGUCGCGAACACAAUCUCGUCUCCUUCCUUGAGAUCGGGAUAAGCACCCAACUUGUAAUGGUGCUAAGGGACUGAUAUCUUGCAGCAGUAUAGUGAGUAUCAUCACAGUCGUCAGAUAUGUUAUUCAUCAUGUGUACGAAAGCCGCAUAGGACUCGGCACNNNNNNNNNNNNNNNNNNNNNNNNNNNNNNNNNNNNNNNNNNNNNNNNNNNNNNNNNNNNNNNNNNNNNNNNNNNNNNNNNNNNNNNNNNNNNNNNNNNNNNNNNNNNNNNNNNNNNNNNNNNNNNNNNNNNNNNNNNNNNNNNNNNNNNNNNNNNNNNNNNNNNNNNNNNNNNNNNNNNNNNNNNNNNNNNNNNNNNNNNNNNNNNNNNNNNNNNNNNNNNNNNNNNNNNNNNNNNNNNNNNNNNNNNNNNNNNNUUGAUACAACUUUAUCUACAUUUGUUUUGUCUCCUGCUGGACCGCCUUUCUAGCACCCUGGCCGCCCUGCCCUUACUUGAACUCCGCGACUCCGUCACCUACACCGAUACAGCCAGAAUCCACGACGCUGCGCCGGUUCAGACCAUUCCUCCAUCCACCGCAAAGGUCCAUUCAACCAUAUGGUAGUCACCGUGGCCGGCGAGUGUUAGUUUGAUUGCUCGUGCUAAAUUUUGUUGUCCCUCCUCUCUAAACAAUGGUUCGAAUAUGGUGUAAAUAUAAGCACUAUGUCGAGUCGUCCGACGAUUCUUUAGACGAGGAGAAGAAGACUACUCGGAUGAGAUGCUCUAUGUUGAUAGUAAUGUCGGUUGUUAAUCAUAACUUGUACCCGGUACAUUAACCCAUCAUAAACAUAUAUGUACUAGGUACAAUCAUCGCACAAUAAUUGGACUUGGUACAUUCGACCGCCGCAAGGAUACUCUUGUACCUGGUACAUUAAGUGGAUAUCUGUAUGCUUGUACAUGGUAUAUUUAGACAUAUUUGUACCCGGGUACAUUAAGUGAACUAUUGUAUACUUAUACCUGGUACAUUCAGGCAUAUAUGUAUACUUGUACACCCUUGCUUAAGGACCAUGCUUAAAAGUGCACCCCACGGACCCCGCAUGUCGAUUAAUACAACUUUAUCUGCAUGUGCUUUCUCCAUUAUCGGCACCGCUAUUCCAGCACCCUAGCCGCCCCACCCCACCCUUAAUUGAACUCUGCGACUCCGUCACCUACACCGCUACACCAGGGAUCCGCGACACUUCUCAUCCUCCACCUAUUCAGACCACUCCUCCAUCUACCGCAAACGUACCAUUCACACAUAUGGUAGUCACCAUGCUUGGCAAGUGUUAGCUGGAUUGCCCGUGCUAAAUCAAUCACAACUAACACACAAAAAAACUAUAUUUUUUAUUUAUUUCCAUUGCAAAGGUUCUACUUU